RNAcentral lists this long non-coding RNA (207 nucleotides) under Homo sapiens (human). RNAcentral's name for it is "non-protein coding lnc-DENND4B-3:2". Lineage: Eukaryota; Metazoa; Chordata; Mammalia; Primates; Hominidae. The record is from RNAcentral.
UCUCUGCUGAGCACUGUCCUCAUUUUCCAUAUUCUCCCUUCUCUCCUCAGCUAUCCUCAUCCUCUUCCCGACCUCGGUCCUGUGAAGUCCCUGGAAUUAACAUCUUUCCAUCUCCUGACCAGCCUGCCAAUGUGCCUGUCCUCCCACCUGCCAUGAACACGGGGGGCUCCCUACCUGACCUCACCAACCUGCACUUUCCCCCACCAC